This 301-nucleotide ribosomal RNA is filed under the name uncultured Caldivirga sp. RNAcentral's name for it is "bacterial SSU rRNA". The stretch from base 58 to 301 matches the Rfam family "Bacterial small subunit ribosomal RNA", at positions 552 to 795 of the family's 1533-position model. The record is from RNAcentral. Lineage: Archaea; Thermoproteati; Thermoproteota; Thermoprotei; Thermoproteales; Thermoproteaceae.
UGUUAAGCCUGGGCAGGCGUCGCGGUGAUGAGGGGGGGGGCAGGCGGUGUGAGGGAGUAUUGGGCGUAAAGGGGGCGUAGGCGGUCUAUCAAGUCGAAGGUGAAAUUCCAGUGCUUAACUCUGGCGGGUCGUUCGAUACUGGGCGACUAGAGUGUGGAAGAGGGUGCUGGAAUUCCCGGUGUAGCGGUGAAAUGCGUAGAUAGCGGGAGGAACACCAGCGGCGAAGGCGGGCACCUGGGCCAACACUGACGCUGAGGCGCGAAAGCUAGGGGAGCAAACAGGAUUAGAUACCCCGGUAGUC